UUGAAAACAGAAGUUGUGGCUUUAAAGGUCAAGCUAGAUGAAGAUCAACAAGUUGAGAGCCAGAAGAUAGUUCAACUGGAGAAAGAAAAAGCAGAACAUGUGGAAACCAUCUUCAAGCUAAAAACUGAAGUUGUGCUCUUAAACUCAAAACUAGAAGAGACAACCAAGUAUGUAAGGAUGUUGAACAAUGGAUCUGACUCCUUAGAC
Molecule: long non-coding RNA, 207 nt
Filed under: Lathyrus oleraceus (garden pea)
Lineage: Eukaryota; Viridiplantae; Streptophyta; Magnoliopsida; Fabales; Fabaceae
Description: Pisum sativum (pea) long non-coding RNA (PSAT_LNC002258)
Source: RNAcentral